GACGAACGCUGGCGGCGCGCCUAACACAUGCAAGUCGAACGGAGUCAAGAGGAGCUUGCUUUUCUUGACUUAGUGGCGAACGGGUGAGUAACGCGUGAGUAACCUGCCCUGGAGUGGGGGACAACAGUUGGAAACGACUGCUAAUACCGCAUAAGCCCACGGAUCCGCAUGGAUCUGCGGGAAAAGGAUUUAUUCGCUUCAGGAUGGACUCGCGUCCAAUUAGCUAGUUGGUGAGGUAACGGCCCACCAAGGCGACGAUUGGUAGCCGGACUGAGAGGUUGAACGGCCACAUUGGGACUGAGACACGGCCCAGACUCCUACGGGAGGCAGCAGUGGGGGAUAUUGCACAAUGGUGGAAACCCUGAUGCAGCGACGCCGCGUGGAGGAAGAAGGUUUUCGGAUUGUAAACUCCUGUCGUUAGGGACGAUAAUGACGGUACCUAACAAGAAAGCACCGGCUAACUACGUG
RNAcentral lists this ribosomal RNA (468 nucleotides) under uncultured bacterium. RNAcentral's name for it is "partial 16S ribosomal RNA". It matches the Rfam family "Bacterial small subunit ribosomal RNA", at positions 28 to 507 of the family's 1533-position model. The record is from RNAcentral.